Molecule: ribosomal RNA, 377 nt
Filed under: uncultured soil bacterium
Lineage: Bacteria
Description: bacterial SSU rRNA
Rfam family: Bacterial small subunit ribosomal RNA
Source: RNAcentral
GUGUAUGAAGAAGGCCUUCGGGUUGUAAAGUACUUUCAGCGGGGAGAAAGGGAGUAAAGUUAAAACCUUUGCUCAUUGACGUUACCCGCAGAAGAAGCACCGGCUAACUCCGUGCCAGCAGCCGCGGUAAUACGGAGGGUGCAAGCGUUAAUCGGAAUUACUGGGCGUAAAGCGCACGCAGGCGGUUUGUUAAGUCAGAUGUGAAAUCCCCGGGCUCAACCUGGGAACUGCAUCUGAUACUGGCAAGCUUGAGUCUCGUAGAGGGGGGUAGAAUUCCAGGUGUAGCGGUGAAAUGCGUAGAGAUCUGGAGGAAUACCGGUGGCGAAGGCGGCCCCCUGGACGAAGACUGACGCUCAGGUGCGAAAGCGUGGGGAGCA